Molecule: ribosomal RNA, 820 nt
Filed under: uncultured Rhodopseudomonas sp.
Lineage: Bacteria; Pseudomonadati; Pseudomonadota; Alphaproteobacteria; Hyphomicrobiales; Nitrobacteraceae
Description: bacterial SSU rRNA
Rfam family: Bacterial small subunit ribosomal RNA
Source: RNAcentral
CUGCGGCUGCUUACCAUGCAAGUCGAACGGGCGUAGCAAUACGUCAGUGGCAGACGGGUGAGUAACGCGUGGGAACGUACCUUUUGGUUCGGAACAACUGAGGGAAACUUCAGCUAAUACCGGAUAAGCCCUUACGGGGAAAGAUUUAUCGCCGAAAGAUCGGCCCGCGUCUGAUUAGCUAGUUGGUGAGGUAAUGGCUCACCAAGGCGACGAUCAGUAGCUGGUCUGAGAGGAUGAUCAGCCACAUUGGGACUGAGACACGGCCCAAACUCCUACGGGAGGCAGCAGUGGGGAAUAUUGGACAAUGGGGGCAACCCUGAUCCAGCCAUGCCGCGUGAGUGAUGAAGGCCCUAGGGUUGUAAAGCUCUUUUGUGCGGGAAGAUAAUGACGGUACCGCAAGAAUAAGCCCCGGCUAACUUCGUGCCAGCAGCCGCGGUAAUACGAAGGGGGCUAGCGUUGCUCGGAAUCACUGGGCGUAAAGGGUGCGUAGGCGGGUUUCUAAGUCAGAGGUGAAAGCCUGGAGCUCAACUCCAGAACUGCCUUUGAUACUGGAAGUCUUGAGUAUGGCAGAGGUGAGUGGAACUGCGAGUGUAGAGGUGAAAUUCGUAGAUAUUCGCAAGAACACCAGUGGCGAAGGCGGCUCACUGGGCCAUUACUGACGCUGAGGCACGAAAGCGUGGGGGAGCAAACAGGAUUAGAUACCCUGGUAGUCCACGCCGUAAACGAUGAAUGCCAGCCGUUAGUGGGUUUACUCACUAGUGGCGCAGCUAACGCUUUAGCAUUCGCCUGGGGGAGUACGGUCGCAGAUUAACUCAAAAGG